Molecule: unclassified non-coding RNA, 268 nt
Filed under: Glomus sp.
Lineage: Eukaryota; Fungi; Glomeromycota; Glomeromycetes; Glomerales; Glomeraceae
Description: partial contains 5.8S ribosomal RNA and internal transcribed spacer 2
Rfam family: 5.8S ribosomal RNA (bases 1-65)
Source: RNAcentral
GUGAAUCAUCGAAUCUUUGAACGCAAAUUGCACUCUCUUCGGAGAGUAUGCCUGUUUGAGGGUUAGCCUAAAAAAAAAAAUCGACAUAGUCGCUGUUUCGCGGUGACAUUCGUCGGAAAUUUGUUCAUCUUAAACCUUUGGGUUUUAAUUGGCUUAAAAUUUUCUUUACGAUUCCACGAACGUUUCUAAAUUUUACUUCUUAUACGUUUAAGGUAUCGAUCUUUAUUAGAAGUGCCCGUUGCAUCGGAUCUCGUCCAUAAAUAUUUCG